RNAcentral lists this long non-coding RNA (617 nucleotides) under Salvia miltiorrhiza (redroot sage). RNAcentral's name for it is "long non-coding RNA (SMIL_LNC009735)". The record is from RNAcentral. Lineage: Eukaryota; Viridiplantae; Streptophyta; Magnoliopsida; Lamiales; Lamiaceae.
CCAUUUUCAAGAAAAACUCCCACAUAGAGAAAAUAUGGUUUCAAAAAACCUCAUAACUCUAUCGCAUGCCUCAAUGCUCCACAUAUAUAUCAUCCAUUACAAUCAAGUAUUUUCAACAAUAUUUCUCCUAAUUCAUCCUAACUCAAAGUUUGACCAAUGUAUUGAUUUAAUUGACCAAGAACUUGUGCAAAAAUUUCUCUAAUUAAUGCCAUAUUCUUGUGAGGUUGUAGUCCAAGCACAAAUAUCAAAACGCUAAACGCUCCUUAAUAAGACGAUGUUCAUAAAUAUUUCUAGCAAGAGUGGUCUUACCCGUCCCGGCCAUUCCUACAAUCGGAAUGAUUUGUAGAUCACGGUGAUCAUUUCAAGCAAGACAUCAUCGGCACCCACCAUAUGCGCAAUCGAAGAAGAUCUCAACGAAUCCAAAGCCAUUGAGUUUCUUUGCAUCUGAUAUUGGUCUCUUUGAUUUCCAUGGCCUCUUUCUUCAUCGAUUACCUUCAUACAAGGCAUCAGUGAUUAACUCAGAGAGACUCUACUCUAUGGAUACUUGUCAUAAUUUUAUUUUAUUUUAUUUUUGUGCACGUUGUAUUACUCUCUACGUAUAUGGAUAUCGAUCUCUA